RNAcentral lists this ribosomal RNA (601 nucleotides) under uncultured bacterium. RNAcentral's name for it is "bacterial SSU rRNA". It matches the Rfam family "Bacterial small subunit ribosomal RNA", at positions 887 to 1499 of the family's 1533-position model. The record is from RNAcentral.
CGCAAGUUUGAAACUCAAAGGAAUUGACGGGGGCCCGCACAAGCGGUGGAGCAUGUGGUUUAAUUCGAUGAUACGCGAGGAACCUUACCAGGGCUUAAAUGUAGAGUGACAGGACUGGAAACAGUUUUUUCUUCGGACACUUUACAAGGUGCUGCAUGGUUGUCGUCAGCUCGUGCCGUGAGGUGUCAGGUUAAGUCCUAUAACGAGCGCAACCCCUGUUGUUAGUUGCCAGCGAGUCAAGUCGGGAACUCUAACAAGACUGCCGGUGCAAACCGUGAGGAAGGUGGGGAUGACGUCAAAUCAUCACGGCCCUUACGUCCUGGGCUACACACGUGCUACAAUGGCCGGUACAGAGAGCAGCCACUGGGCGACCAGGAGCGAAUCUAUAAAGCCGGUCACAGUUCGGAUUGGAGUCUGCAACCCGACUCCAUGAAGCUGGAAUCGCUAGUAAUCGCAUAUCAGCCAUGAUGCGGUGAAUACGUUCCCGGGCCUUGUACACACCGCCCGUCAAGCCAUGGAAGCCGGGGGUACCUGAAGUCGGUGACCGCAAGGAGCUGCCUAGGGUAAAACUGGUAACUGGGGCUAAGUCGUAACAAGGUAA